RNAcentral lists this ribosomal RNA (253 nucleotides) under uncultured bacterium. RNAcentral describes it as "partial 16S ribosomal RNA". It matches the Rfam family "Bacterial small subunit ribosomal RNA", at positions 524 to 776 of the family's 1533-position model. The record is from RNAcentral.
UACGUAGGUGGCGAACGUUAUCCGGAAUUACUGGGCGUAAAGGGUCUGUAGGCGGUUUUACAGGUCUGGCGUGACAAUUCUCGGCUUAACUGAGAGAGUGCGUUGGAAACCGGAAGACUAGAAUCACGUCGAGGUCGGUGGAAUUCCCGGUGUAGUGGUGGAAUGCGUAGAGAUCGGGAGGAACCCCUAAAGCGAAGGCAGCCGGCUAGACGACGAUUGACGCUGAGGGACGAUAGCGUGGGGAGCGAACAGG